CGCAACUCAGCUUAGCUAGAUUUCAAUUCUAGUUCACCACAAUUUUCCCGACCAUCCCGGCUCCCUGAUGCGGUGCACAGUACAGGCUGUACUGCCCUGGUGCCUUCAGCACAACCGAGUAUGUCUCUCCCGGCGCGUUCAAGAGAUCAUUCUCGUCCAUAGACAGAGACCCAGCAUUAACUCCAGAUGGAACCUCAUCUUCGUCAAACACCACGUUGUGUGGGAAUCCGGUGUUGUUUUUGAACACCAGUUUGUCUCCAGCAUUGAUCUUCACCAUACUUGGGACGAACGCCAAAUCCCCAUCGUUGCUACCAAGCAAAACCUCCACAUCCGCGGCCAUGGCUGUGCUUGCAAACAUCACUGUGGCUGCUGUGGCUACGACUGCUGCACCAACAUCCUUCAGAGAUGCCUUUACAGACACUGCUGACCUGGUCUUUGCCACCUUUGGGUUGUUGGGUAUGGAGACAAGAUUUCGGAGUGCGUGAACAGGCGCCUUCAGGCCACUCAACUUGGGGAUUGUCACGGAUGCGGUUGACAGACUAGCCAUGGUUAUCGGUUAUCACGAUAUGGAAGGAGAAUUGCAGAAUAUUUGGAGUAUAGAGUAAUUGGGAAUUGCUCGAUUAAUUAUAAAGAAUGGAAUGAUGGAGAGAUAACAACAGGAUUACAUGACGUGUGUGUUUAUGGUGAACGAACUACUAUGGUCUAUAGGAUAAGAUAGGAUAAUGGAUGGACAAAGUGAGACCAAUCAAAAAGUUCCAACGAAUAUGUGUUCCCUUGAUCAUAUCCAAAUGAUCUCCGUAUAAGUGUACGACAUAAGAGAUAAGACUUACAAUUUCUAAGUAACAUACCCAAAAUCAAUCAAAUAUGCCACUAAUCUUCUGUCUGCAUGGCCAAUUGGCCAUGGACUAUGCUUUUAAAUUUCUUAACUGCAAAAAAAAAUGUUCUAAAAACAUAUUUACAGAAUACAGAUAGGAAAAACUUUC
Molecule: long non-coding RNA, 983 nt
Filed under: Zostera marina
Lineage: Eukaryota; Viridiplantae; Streptophyta; Magnoliopsida; Alismatales; Zosteraceae
Description: long non-coding RNA (ZMAR_LNC000075)
Source: RNAcentral